ACCAUGAUAUUCAGCAAAAUAUGUUGCAAGUGACCUUAAACUUCAGAAAGUAUUGCAAAAAUCAGAAAGACAUUUCAUUUCUCCUUCUGGUUCCUUCUUUUCACUUUUUUAUCUGUCACCUGACAAUGAUAAAAAAAAAAAAAAAGAAUACUGAACAGAUUAACAAAACCAAUCACUUAAUAGACCACUUUCGAGUUCGUUGCAUUUCCGUCAAACAUUUUUAUACGACCGCAAAAAAAUUAUGUGGUCGUAUAUUGGUAUGACGUUGGUGUCGUCGUCGUCCGAAGACACAUUGGUUUUCACACUCUAACUUUAGUUUAAGUGAAUGGAUCUCUAUAAAAUAUUACCAUAAGGUUCAAAAGGAAGGUGGGGAUUGAUUUUGGGGGUUAUGGUACCAACAGUUAAGGAAUUAGGGGCCAAAAAUAAGCAUUUUUGUAACUUCCAGACAUAACUUGUGUGUAAGUGUAUGGAUCUCUCUGACAUUGUACCACAAGGUUCCAUAUCACAAAGGGAAUGCUGGGAUUGAUUUUGGGGGUAAUUGUCUCAAAAUUUUAGGAAUUAGGGGCCAAAAAGGGGCAAAAAACAAGCAUUUUUCUAGUUUCAUGACAAUAACUUGUGUGUAAGUGUAUGGAUCUUUAUGAAAUUGUACUACAAGGUUCCAUAUCACGAAGGGAAAGCUGGAAUUGAUUUUGGGGGUAAUUGCCCACAACGUUUAGGAAUAAGGGGCCAAAAAUAAGCAUUUUUCUAGUUUUCAGACAAUAACUUGUGUUCAAGUGUAUGGAUCUCUCUGAAAUUGUACUGCAAGGUACCAUACCACAAAAGGAAUGCUGGGAUUGAUUUUGGGGGUAAUUCCCUAGAAAUUUGAGGAAUUAGGGGCCAUAAAGGGGCAAAAAAACAAGCAUUUUUCUAGUUUCAGGACAAUAACUUGUGUGUAAGUGUAUGGAUCUUUAUGAAAUUGUACUGCAAGGUUCCAUAUCACAAAGGGAAAGCUGGGUUUGAGUUUGGGGGUAAUUGCCCUAAAUGUUUAGGAAUUUGGGGCCAAAAAGGGGCCAAAAAACAAGCAUUUUUCUAGUUUCCAGACAAUAAUUUGUGUUCAAGUGUAUGGAUCUCUCUGAAAAUGUACUCAUACAUGUGAACCUCCCGACGGGAGUACAAUAAUCCCGUUUUCAGGGGUCUCCUCAUCCCGACCUCCCGUUGAAAAAAAAAAAAUCCCGUGUAUGAAAUAUUUCAUGAAUGAAAAAUUUCAGCCCAACAUAUCUGGUGUAACUGACAUUACCUGAAGUUAUAUUUUACCUGUAAAUCAAUUAACAUGCAUAAUUAUAUGGCUUCACUUGUCACUUUGGGUGUCAAACAUACUGGUAAUCAACGAUUUUUACCUCAGGCUAACUGCUGUUGUGUAAUAAAACUUUGUGUAUUUAAAAUGAAUGUUGGGUUACUUCCCUUGAUUUAUCCUGUUUUAAGUUACUUUCCUUUAAAUAAUGUAAAUUUUUAAAAGAAUAUAAAUAAAAUAUAAAUUGAACAAAUAAUCAUAAAAGGAUGGUAAUUAAAUGAUUAUAAAUGUCUUAGGACAAAUAAAAAAAUAAUAAUUUGAAAAUUAUUUGAGGGUUCUAUACUUCCUUUCAAGGCUUAAAUUGAAAUUUAUAUAAUAACUAUGACCCCUGUUUACAGUUUGAAUGUGUUACUUAUCAUGCAUUUAAAAUCUACUUGCAUAAAGAUAAAAAUAAAAAAUCUACUUGCAGAUAGAUAAGCAAAUGUUCUGAUUGCAAUGAAUAAUGGUAAAAAAGAUAUGACCUAAAAAAUUUAAAGAACAUACUAAAAAAGAAGAAUGUUAGAUUGAACAAGUUGAAAGUUUAAAAA
This is a long non-coding RNA of Mytilus californianus (California mussel), 1857 nucleotides long. RefSeq lists it as uncharacterized. Lineage: Eukaryota; Metazoa; Mollusca; Bivalvia; Mytilida; Mytilidae. The transcript is spliced from 2 exons. The record is from RefSeq and is a predicted model, not a curated record.